This 742-nucleotide ribosomal RNA is filed under the name uncultured bacterium. RNAcentral describes it as "bacterial SSU rRNA". It matches the Rfam family "Bacterial small subunit ribosomal RNA", at positions 94 to 823 of the family's 1533-position model. The record is from RNAcentral.
AGCGGCGGAUGGGUGAGUAACACGUGGGGAACCUGCCCCUAAGUCUGGGAUACCAUUUGGAAACAGGUGCUAAUACCGGAUAAUAAAGCAGAUCGCAUGAUCAGCUUUUGAAAGGCGGCGUAAGCUGUCGCUAAGGGAUGGCCCCGCGGUGCAUUAGCUAGUUGGUAAGGUAACGGCUUACCAAGGCGACGAUGCAUAGCCGAGUUGAGAGACUGAUCGGCCACAUUGGGACUGAGACACGGCCCAAACUCCUACGGGAGGCAGCAGUAGGGAAUCUUCCACAAUGGACGCAAGUCUGAUGGAGCAACGCCGCGUGAGUGAAGAAGGUUUUCGGAUCGUAAAGCUCUGUUGUUGGUGAAGAAGGAUAGAGGUAGUAACUGGCCUUUAUUUGACGGUAAUCAACCAGAAAGUCACGGCUAACUACGUGCCAGCAGCCGCGGUAAUACGUAGGUGGCAGGCGUUGUCCGGAUUUAUUGGGCGUAAAGCGAGCGCAGGCGGAAAAAUAAGUCUAAUGUGAAAGCCCUCGGCUUAACCGAGGAACUGCAUCGGAAACUGUUUUUCUUGAGUGCAGAAGAGGAGAGUGGAACUCCAUGUGUAGCGGUGGAAUGCGUAGAUAUAUGGAAGAACACCAGUGGCGAAGGCGGCUCUCUGGUCUGCAACUGACGCUGAGGCUCGAAAGCAUGGGUAGCGAACAGGAUUAGAUACCUGGUAGUCCAUGCCGUAAACGAUGAGUGCUAAGUGU